GCCGGUGUGGCUUAGCUGGUUAUAGCGCCAGACUCACUAACAAUCUGAAAAUAAGGGUCAGACUGAAUGUGCUGGACUCAUAAUCUGGAGGUCGAGGGCUCAAAUCCCUCCACCGGCA
This 118-nucleotide transfer RNA is filed under the name marine sediment metagenome. Its description in RNAcentral is "tRNA-Val". It matches the Rfam family "tRNA". Rfam says of the family: Transfer RNA (tRNA) molecules are approximately 80 nucleotides in length. Their secondary structure includes four short double-helical elements and three loops (D, anti-codon, and T loops). The record is from RNAcentral.